AGCGAACGUUAGCGGCGGGCCUAACACAUGCAAGUCGAACGCGAAAGGUCUUCGGACUGAGUAGAGUGGCGCACGGGUGAGUAACACGUAGGUAAUCUACCCUUUGGCGGGGGAUAACGUUCCGAAAGGAGCGCUAAUACCGCAUAAGACCACGGAGUCUCCGGACGCUGUGGGAAAAGGUGGCCUCUUCUUGAAAGCUACCACCGAAGGAUGAGCCUGCGUCCCAUCAGCUAGUUGGUAAGGUAAUGGCUUACCAAGGCGAAGACGGGUAGCUGGUUUGAGAGAAUGAUCAGCCACACUGGCACUGGAACACGGGCCAGACUCCUACGGGAGGCAGCAGUGAGGAAUAUUGGGCAAUGGGCGAAAGCCUGACCCAGCCACGCCGCGUGAGUGAUGAAGGCCCUCGGGUCGUAAAGCUCUUUCGGCCGGGAAGAAAUCGCACAGGUUAAUACCCUGUGUGGAUGACGGUACCGGAAUAAGAAGCACCGGCUAACUACGUGCCAGCAGCCG
This 510-nucleotide ribosomal RNA is filed under the name uncultured bacterium. RNAcentral describes it as "bacterial SSU rRNA". It matches the Rfam family "Bacterial small subunit ribosomal RNA", at positions 29 to 517 of the family's 1533-position model. The record is from RNAcentral.